RNAcentral lists this long non-coding RNA (719 nucleotides) under Orbicella faveolata. RNAcentral's name for it is "uncharacterized LOC110039920, transcript variant X2". Lineage: Eukaryota; Metazoa; Cnidaria; Anthozoa; Scleractinia; Merulinidae. The record is from RNAcentral.
UGACUGCCCGAAAUAACCUUAACAGGUACUUAAGACUGGGCAGCCAUCCUUAGUCAGAUUACAACACUGGCUGACCUAGAUAACAAUAAAAAGGGCAAAAAAAUUUACAUCAGUGCGCGUCUUUUAUUUAACUCGAUCGUUCUUUAAAAGAAAAGUUUCUGAUGAUAUAAUUUGAAAUCUUUGGAAUUCUUGUGCAGAUGUAAGCAGAGCUGAAUGUGCAAUAAACAGGUUUAUGCAGGUGAGAAUGGAAGGCAACUGGAGGAUGGAAUCUGUUUGGCUGACAGACGAGAGCCUGGGACGAGUUCGUUAUGCUCGGCAGAGUUUACCGCGGUCCUCGAAGGCAUAGAUCUGGUUGGUUCUAACAGGCACGCAGAUGUUGAGCGGAGUGCCAUAGUCCACGUAAAUGAGAACUGAAAAUGCCAGUUCACUCAGUCAAGUAAUUGAUGACCAAGAGACUGCAAAGCUGGAAUACAAUCAGUUUUUAGUAUUGACUGGUGAGCAAAAUUGUACUUUCUAAAUAUGUGAAAGUAAAUUAAUAGACAGCAUGAAAUUCUUUUGUAUCAAUAGUACACAUCAUCCAACCCUUGUAUAAAAGCAGAGCUCUCAAGUCUUACACACACUAAGUGUGAGACUUGGGCAAGCAAAUCAUUAUUCAAUCCUUAUUGACCCCCGUAUGCUAAAACUUAUUUCUUGCAAGGUAAGGUUUUUGAUUGAAGCAG